AGAGGAGGGCAUCCAAUUCUCUAAAAUGAGUCUCUCUGGGGAGAGAGAGGAGGGCGGCCCUGCCUCUAAAAUGAGUCUCUCUGGGGAGAGAGAGGAGGGCGGCCCUGCCUCUAAAAUUAGUCUCUCUGGGAAACAUGACACCAAAGCUAAGAGCCCAAUCCAUCAGGAGAGACCAGACUCACCCAGCUGUCUGUCCGUGAAGAGUGACGGGUCUAUGGACCAUUUCUAUGAUUGCGAAGAUGGAGACUUUUCUGCAUUUACAGGUCCAAUCAAGCAGGAGAGACCAGCCUCCCCUGUUCCCAGCUGUGUGUCCAUGAAGAGUGACUGGUCUAUGAGUCAACCUAUACAGUUUAGAGAGGGAGAUUUUUCUACUGAACAAAGAAACCAACAGGAGAGAUCAGAGUCAGAGAUUCUCAGUGGUCAGUCUUCCCAGAGUCAUCAAACAGACCUGGACUCCAUAUUUAGUAUGCUUGAAGAUAAUAUAAUAACAUUUGUGAAGAACGAGCUGAAGAUGUUCAAGAGGAUUCUUAGUCCAGAACUCCCAGAG
Molecule: long non-coding RNA, 547 nt
Organism: Oncorhynchus nerka (sockeye salmon)
Lineage: Eukaryota; Metazoa; Chordata; Actinopteri; Salmoniformes; Salmonidae
Exons: 5
Source: RefSeq, a predicted model, not a curated record